RNAcentral lists this ribosomal RNA (241 nucleotides) under uncultured bacterium. RNAcentral describes it as "partial 16S ribosomal RNA". It matches the Rfam family "Bacterial small subunit ribosomal RNA", at positions 524 to 769 of the family's 1533-position model. The record is from RNAcentral.
UACGUAGGGACCGAGCGUUGUCCGGAUUCAUUGGGCGUAAAGAGCUCGUAGGCGGCUGUCCAAGUCGAACGUGAAACUCGGGCUCAACUCCGAGCCUGCGUCCGAUACUGGCAGGCUUGAAUCCGGAGAGGGAUGCGGAAUUCCAGGUGUAGCGGUGAAGUGCGUAGAUAUCUGGAGGAACACCGGUGGCGAAGGCGGCAUCCGUGGACCGGUAUGACGCUGAGGCGCGAAGCCAGGGAGC